GCUGGCGGCGUGCUUAACACAUGCAAGUCAAGGGGGCCCAGCAAUGGGCAACCGGCGAACGGGUGCGUAACACGUGAGCAACCUACCGAACUGUGGGGGAUAGCCGGCCUAACGGCCGAGUAAUACCGCAUACGCUUUCAGUGAGGCAUUUCAUUGAAAGGAAACCUACGGGACAGAUCGAGGGGCUCGCGGCCUAUCAGCUAGUUGGCGAGGUAACGGCUCACCAAGGCGACGACGGGUAGCUGGUCUGAGAGGAUGGCCAGCCACAUUGGGACUGAGAUACGGCCCAGACUCCUACGGGAGGCAGCAGUGGGGAAUCUUGCGCAAUGGCCUAACGGCUGACGCAGCGACGCCGCGUGUGGGAUGAAGCUCCUCGGAGUGUAAACCACUGUUGCCCGGGACGAAUAGCUCGAUUAAUCGAGCCUGACGGUACCGGGUGAGGAAGCACCGGCUAACUCCGUGCCAGCAGCCGCGGUAAUACGGGGGGUGCGAGCGUUGUCCGGAAUCACUGGGCGUAAAGGGCGCGUAGGUGGUUUGAUAAGGGUGUGGUGAAAGCCC
This 558-nucleotide ribosomal RNA is filed under the name uncultured soil bacterium. Its description in RNAcentral is "bacterial SSU rRNA". It matches the Rfam family "Bacterial small subunit ribosomal RNA", at positions 35 to 603 of the family's 1533-position model. The record is from RNAcentral.